RNAcentral lists this ribosomal RNA (467 nucleotides) under uncultured bacterium. Its description in RNAcentral is "bacterial SSU rRNA". It matches the Rfam family "Bacterial small subunit ribosomal RNA", at positions 335 to 793 of the family's 1533-position model. The record is from RNAcentral.
ACUCCUACGGGAGGCAGCAGUGGGGAAUUGUUCGCAAUGGGCGCAAGCCUGACGACGCAACGCCGCGUGGAGGAUGAAGACCUUCGGGUCGUAAACUCCUUUCGAUCGAGACGAACGGCCUUCGGGUUAAUAACCUGGAGGAGUGACGGUACCGAGAGAAGAAGCCCCGGCUAACUCCGUGCCAGCAGCCGCGGUAAUACGGGGGGGGCAAGCGUUGUUCGGAAUUACUGGGCGUAAAGGGCUCGUAGGCGGCCAACUAAGUCGGACGUGAAAUCCCUCGGCUUAACCGGGGAACUGCGUCUGAUACUGGAUGGCUUGAAUCCGGGAGAGGGAUGCGGAAUUCCAGGUGUAGCGGUGAAAUGCGUAGAUAUCUGGAGGAACACCGGUGGCGAAGGCGGCAUCCUGGACCGGCAUUGACGCUGAGGAGCGAAAGCCAGGGGAGCAAACGGGAUUAGAUACCCUGGUAG